UGCCAGCCGCCGCGGUAAUACGGAGGAUGCAAGCGUUAUCCGGAUUUAUUGGGUUUAAAGGGUACGUGGGCGGAAACUUAAGUCAGUAGUGAAAUCCUGCAGCUUAACUGUAGCAUUGCCUUUGAUACUGCCAGACUUGAGUUAUUGUGAAGUAGUUAGAAUGUGUAGUGUAGCGGUGAAAUGCAUAGAUAUUACACAGAAUACCGAUUGCGAAGGCAGUUCACUGGACCGUGAUCGACGCUGAGGAGCGAAAGCUAGGGGAGCAAACAGGAUUAGAUA
This 279-nucleotide ribosomal RNA is filed under the name uncultured bacterium. Its description in RNAcentral is "partial 16S ribosomal RNA". It matches the Rfam family "Bacterial small subunit ribosomal RNA", at positions 506 to 784 of the family's 1533-position model. The record is from RNAcentral.